RNAcentral lists this ribosomal RNA (381 nucleotides) under uncultured eukaryote. RNAcentral's name for it is "partial 18S ribosomal RNA". It matches the Rfam family "Eukaryotic small subunit ribosomal RNA", at positions 592 to 976 of the family's 1831-position model. The record is from RNAcentral.
CAAUAGCGUAUAUUAAAGUUGUUGCGGUAAAAAAGCUCGUAGUUGGAUUUCUACCGAAGAUAGCCGGUCGGGUCUUCGACCUUGUAUCUGGUUUUGUCUUUGGUAUCCUCAUAGGGAACGUUUCCGCGCUUUAUUGCGUGGUGCGGUAUCUAUGACUUUUACUUUGAGGAAAUUAGAGUGUUCACGGCAGGCAAACGCCUUGAAUAUAUUAGCAUGGAAUAAUAACAUAGGAUCUUCGUCCUAUUUUGUUGGUUUCUAGGGCUAAGAUAAUGAUUAAUAGGGAUAAUUGGGGGCAUCUGUAUCAACGCGUCAGAGGUGGAAUUCUUGGAUUGCGUUGCGACAAACUACUGCGAAAGCAUUUGCCAAGGAUGUUUUCAUUGA